CGCUCAUCUUCUUCUUUGGUCCAUGCACCUUUGUUGGUGUGAGCUUUCUCACAGCACGGGGACCUGCCCAUGUCUCUUUGGUGCUUCUUGGAGAGCUAGAUGACGGGUGUUGCAGUUGGCAGAAGUGGAGCUGAGCUGAGUCCAUGAGAUUUUGGUUGGUGGGAGAAAAAGGGCUUGGAGGGUCCCCCUGGUGACUUUAUUGGCCUGCCAUCUUCUCCUCUCUCUCUGUCUCCGUGUUGUGGCUGGAAGAUAUUUAUGGAUGUCAGGAUCUAUGAUAUUGGAAAAUUGAUCAAACACGAACAAGUCACUUUCCAGUAAUCCACAAGUGGAUAGAAAAAUGAAAGAGUUGGUCCUUUCUAGUGUUUAAGAUAAGCUGCUACAAACAUUGUUCAUGCUAGGGAGGUUAAUGUCAAACAAUUAGAGAAGCAAGUUACUGUGGAAAAGGACCUUUGAAAAUGUUCUACAACAACUUCAUUUUCUUAGGGAUCUCGUUUUCUGGAUGGUCAAGCUAAAAUUUGAAUGGCAUUCAUGAUUGAAAUUGUUGAUGAACUAAUGCAGACUUGAGAUAAGAGAGUUUUCUAUUUCAUAUAAACUCUAUACCAAAUUGAAAUUCCUAUCUGGCUAAUAGUCCAGUGUUUGAUCAUCUAUUUUAAUUUUAAUUAACAUUCUAUUUUGAAA
Hevea brasiliensis (rubber tree) is the source of this 678-nucleotide long non-coding RNA. RefSeq lists it as uncharacterized. The record is from RefSeq and is a predicted model, not a curated record. The transcript has 2 exons. NCBI's taxonomy places the organism in Eukaryota, Viridiplantae, Streptophyta, Magnoliopsida, Malpighiales, Euphorbiaceae.